CCUACGGGAGGCAGCAGUCGAGAAUCAUUCACAAUGGGGGAAACCCUGAUGGUGCGACGCCGCGUGGGGGAAUGAAGGUCUUCGGAUUGUAAACCCCUGUCAUGUGGGAGCAAAUUAAAAAGAUAGUACCACAAGAGGAAGAGACGGCUAACUCUGUGCCAGCAGCCGCGGUAAUACAGAGGUCUCAAGCGUUGUUCGGAAUCACUGGGCGUAAGGCGUGCGUAGGCUGUUGCGUAAGUCGUGUGUGAAAGGCGCGGGCUCAACCCGCGGACGGCACAUGAUACUGCGAGACUAGAGUAAUGGAGGGGGAACCGGAAUGCUCGGUGUAGCAGUGAAAUGCGUAGAUAUCGAGAGGAACACUCGUGGCGAAGGCGGGUUCCUGGACAUUAACUGACGCUGAGGCACGAAGGCCAGGGGAGCGAAAGGGAUUAGAUACCCCUGUAGUC
Molecule: ribosomal RNA, 446 nt
Filed under: uncultured bacterium
Lineage: Bacteria
Description: partial 16S ribosomal RNA
Rfam family: Bacterial small subunit ribosomal RNA
Source: RNAcentral